CAGCAGCCGCGGGAAUACGAGGGGGGCAAGCGUUGUUCGGAAUUAUUGGGCGUAAAGGGUGCGUAGGCGGUUUGACAAGUCAUCUGUGAAAUCUAUGGGCUCAACCCAUAGUCUGCAGGCGAAACUGUCGGGCUUGAGUAUGGGAGAGGUGAGUGGAAUUUCCGGUGUAGCGGUGAAAUGCGUAGAUAUCGGAAGGAACACCUGUGGCGAAAGCGGCUCACUGGACCAUAACUGACGCUGAGGCACGAAAGCUAGGGGAGCAAACAGGAUUAGAUACCCCAGUAGUCCCUGUCUCUUAUAC
RNAcentral lists this ribosomal RNA (301 nucleotides) under uncultured bacterium. RNAcentral's name for it is "partial 16S ribosomal RNA". It matches the Rfam family "Bacterial small subunit ribosomal RNA", at positions 509 to 807 of the family's 1533-position model. The record is from RNAcentral.